UAUCAUAAAAAUAGAUUGCACUUUAUUCCUUGAAGUACAUAAAGAAAAACACCUACAAUGCUUGAAGUUAGUAAAAGGAGAAACCAUUAAUAAUGGAUCAACAAAUGUACCAAUAUUAAAUUUAAAGCCCUGGGGAAGAGCUUCAAUAUGGCCAACUAGAGACAUUUCAUUAACAUCAGGGUUUUACCCCCUCCCCCUCCCCAGACUGCCAUCACUGCAGGCUGCUGCCACUGGGCUGAAGCAUGACUGAAAUAUGUGUUCCUCACCCACCUACAUAUAGCUGCUACCACCAAGAAAACUGAAAGCUCAUAUUCUUGACAAACAUACAUGAAAAAGUCCUCAAGAAAAUACUAAAAAAUUGAAACAUUCAGUGGGAAAGAUAUUUUCUUCAACACAUGGUUCUGGGAAAACUGGAUAUUCACAUGUAGAAGAAGGAAACAGCACCCU
RNAcentral lists this long non-coding RNA (447 nucleotides) under Pan troglodytes (chimpanzee). RNAcentral describes it as "long non-coding RNA NONPTRT001375". The record is from RNAcentral. Lineage: Eukaryota; Metazoa; Chordata; Mammalia; Primates; Hominidae.